Candidatus Gottesmanbacteria bacterium is the source of this 316-nucleotide non-coding RNA. Lineage: Bacteria; Candidatus Gottesmaniibacteriota. The record is from Rfam.
UGGGUUCAGAACGUCGUAAGACAGUUCGGUCUCUAUCCGGUGCAAGCGUUGGAUACUUGAGGGGGGCUCUUGCUAGUACGAGAGGACUGCGAGGGAGGAAUCCCUGGUGUGCCAGUUGUCUUCCCAGAGUGGAGGCAGCAAGCUGGAUAGCUACAUUCCUUCGGGAUAAGCGCUGAAAGCAUCUGAAGCGCCAAGCCCACCCCAAGAUAAGGUAUCCCUUUAAACCCCUGGUAGAUUACCAGGUUGAUAGGCGGAAGGUGUACGCACCGUAAGGUGUUUAGCCCAUCCGUACUAAUUGGUUGAGAGUAAAUUUUAA